CACGGAGUUAGCCGGUGCUUAUUCGUAUAGUACCUUCAGCUACUCUCACGAGAGUAGGUUUAUCCCUAUACAAAAGAAGUUUACAACCCAUAGGGCCGUCGUCCUUCACGCGGGAUGGCUGGGAUCAGGCUCUCACCCAUUGUCCAAUAUUCCUCACUGCUGCCUCCCGUAGGAGUCUGGUCCGUGUCUCAGUACCAGUGUGGGGGAUCACCCUCUCACGGCCCCCUAAAGAUCAUUGACUUGGUGAGCCGUUACCUCACCAACUAUCUAAUCUUGCGCGUGCCCAUCUCUAUCCGCCGGAGUUUUCAAUAUCUAAUGAUGCCAUCAAAUAUAUUAUGGGGUAUUAAUCUUCUUUCGAAAGGCUAUCCCCCUGAUAAAGGUAGGUUGCACACGUGUUCCGCACCCGUGCGCCGCUCUCAAGAUUCCGAAGAAUCUCUACCGCUCGGCUUGCAUGUGUUAGGCCUCCCGCUAGCGUUCUAUCCUGACGCCAGGUACUCAAACU
This 502-nucleotide ribosomal RNA is filed under the name uncultured Chryseobacterium sp. RNAcentral describes it as "partial 16S ribosomal RNA". The record is from RNAcentral. Lineage: Bacteria; Pseudomonadati; Bacteroidota; Flavobacteriia; Flavobacteriales; Weeksellaceae.